UGCGGGAUAGAGGAGCGGUUUCCUUGACGGCCUCAUAAGCCGUAGACGCCGGUUCGAAUCCGGCUCCCGCAACCA
This 75-nucleotide transfer RNA is filed under the name Caudoviricetes sp. Its description in RNAcentral is "tRNA-Met". It matches the Rfam family "tRNA". From Rfam's summary of the family: Transfer RNA (tRNA) molecules are approximately 80 nucleotides in length. Their secondary structure includes four short double-helical elements and three loops (D, anti-codon, and T loops). Further hydrogen bonds mediate the characteristic L-shaped molecular structure. tRNAs have two regions of fundamental functional importance: the anti-codon, which is responsible for specific mRNA codon recognition, and the 3' end, to which the tRNAs corresponding amino acid is attached (by aminoacyl-tRNA synthetases). tRNAs cope with the degeneracy of the genetic code in two manners: having more than one tRNA (with a specific anti-codon) for a particular amino acid; and 'wobble' base-pairing, i.e. permitting non-standard base-pairing at the 3rd anti-codon position. Lineage: Duplodnaviria; Heunggongvirae; Uroviricota; Caudoviricetes. The record is from RNAcentral.